RNAcentral lists this unclassified non-coding RNA (233 nucleotides) under Hevea brasiliensis (rubber tree). The record is from RNAcentral. Lineage: Eukaryota; Viridiplantae; Streptophyta; Magnoliopsida; Malpighiales; Euphorbiaceae.
AUCCAUAAAGCGCACACACACACACUCCUUAGCUUCACCACAGAAACAAGAAAAAAGAGAAGAAUUUUCUAUCUGUUGGCGCUUUAUUUCAUUUUCUUUGCUUUCAGUUUCUACUCCUAAUGGCUGACUUGGAUCACUCCUCUAGUGAUGAUGUCUCUGUUGAUUCUAGAGGUAUUUAUUCUGAAAUUCAUGGGUCCUUUGUUUUUGCAGUUUUCAAAUCUAUAAAGGCCGAC